This 495-nucleotide ribosomal RNA is filed under the name uncultured bacterium. RNAcentral describes it as "partial 16S ribosomal RNA". It matches the Rfam family "Bacterial small subunit ribosomal RNA", at positions 28 to 507 of the family's 1533-position model. The record is from RNAcentral.
GACGAACGCUGGCGGCGUGCCUAAUACAUGCAAGUAGAACGCUGAAGGAGGAGCUUGCUUCUCUGGAUGAGUUGCGAACGGGUGAGUAACGCGUAGGUAACCUGCCUGGUAGUGGGGGAUAACUAUUGGAAACGAUAGCUAAUACCGCAUAAUAGCAGUUGUUGCAUGAUAACUGUUUGAAAGGUGCAAUUGCACCGCUACCAGAUGGACCUGCGUUGUAUUAGCUAGUUGGUGGGGUAACGGCUCACCAAGGCGACGAUACAUAGCCGACCUGAGAGGGUGAUCGGCCACACUGGGACUGAGACACGGCCCAGACUCCUACGGGAGGCAGCAGUAGGGAAUCUUCGGCAAUGGACGGAAGUCUGACCGAGCAACGCCGCGUGAGUGAAGAAGGUUGUCGGAUCGUAAAGCUCUGUUGUAAGAGAAGAACGAGUGUGAGAGUGGAAAGUUCACACUGUGACGGUAUCUUACCAGAAAGGGACGGCUAACUACGUG